This 482-nucleotide ribosomal RNA is filed under the name uncultured bacterium. RNAcentral describes it as "partial 16S ribosomal RNA". It matches the Rfam family "Bacterial small subunit ribosomal RNA", at positions 30 to 507 of the family's 1533-position model. The record is from RNAcentral.
AUUGAACGCUGGCGGCAUGCCUUACACAUGCAAGUCGAACGGUAACAGGUCUUCGGAUGCUGACGAGUGGCGCACGGGGGAGUAAUACAUCGAAACGUGCCCGAUCGUGGGGGAGAACACGUCGAAAGCUUUGCUCAUACAGCAUACGCUCUACGGAUGAGAGCGGGGGGUCUUCUGACAUCGCGCGGACGCAGCGGCCUAUGGCGGAUUAGGUAGUGGGUGGGGUAAAAGCCUACCAAGGCGACGAUCUGUAGCUGGUCUGAGAGGAUGAUCAGCCACACUGAAACUGAGACACGGUCCAGACUCCUACGGGAGGCAGCAGUGGGGAAUAUUGGACAAUGGGCGAAAGCCUGAUCCAGCCAUGCCGCGUGUGUGAAGAAGGUCUUCGGAUUGUAAAGCACUUUAAGUUGGGAGGAAGGGCAGUAAGUUAAUACCUUGCUGUUUUGACGUUACCAACAGAAUAAGCACCGGCUAACUUCGUG